RNAcentral lists this ribosomal RNA (515 nucleotides) under uncultured bacterium. RNAcentral describes it as "partial 16S ribosomal RNA". It matches the Rfam family "Bacterial small subunit ribosomal RNA", at positions 28 to 523 of the family's 1533-position model. The record is from RNAcentral.
GAUGAACGCUGGCGGCGUGCCUAAUACAUGCAAGUCGAGCGAAUGGAUUAAGAGCUUGCUCUUAUGAAGUUAGCGGCGGACGGGUGAGUAACACGUGGGUAACCUGCCCAUAAGACUGGGAUAACUCCGGGAACCCGGGGCUAAUACCGGAUAACAUUUUGAACCGCAUGGUUCGAAAUUGAAAGGCGGCUUCGGCUGUCACUUAUGGAUGGACCCGCGUCGCAUUAGCUAGUUGGUGAGGUAUCGGCUCACCAAGGCAACGAUGCGUAGCCGACCUGAGAGGGUGAUCGGCCACACUGGGACUGAGACACGGCCCAGACUCCUACGGGAGGCAGCAGUAGGGAAUCUUCCGCAAUGGACGAAAGUCUGACGGAGCAACGCCGCGUGAGUGAUGAAGGCUUUCGGGUCGUAAAACUCUGUUGUUAGGGAAGAACAAGUGCUAGUUGAAUAAGCUGGCACCUUGACGGUACCUAACCAGAAAGCCACGGCUAACUACGUGCCAGCCGCCGCCGUAA